GAUGAACGCUAGCGAUAGGCUUAACACAUGCAAGUCGAGGGGCAGCAUGGUCUUAGCUUGCUAAGACUGAUGGCGACCGGCGCACGGGUGCGUAACGCGUAUGCAACUUGCCUCACAGAGGGGGAUAACCCGUCGAAAGACGGACUAAUACCGCGUACACUCCAUCUUGGGCAUCCAAGGUAGAGGAAAUGAAAUUCGCUGUGAGAUAGGCAUGCGUCCCAUUAGCUAGUUGGUGAGGUAACGGCUCACCAAGGCGACGAUGGGUAGGGGAACUGAGAGGUUGAACCCCCACACUGGUACUGAGACACGGACCAGACUCCUACGGGAGGCAGCAGUGAGGAAUAUUGGGCAAUGGGCGAGAGCCUGAACCAGCCAAGUCGCGUGAAGGAUGACUGUCUUAUGGAUUGUAAACUUCUUUUAGACGGGAAUAACAAGAGUCACGUGUGACUCCCUGCAUGUACCGUAUGAAUAAGCAUCGGCUAACUCCGUG
Molecule: ribosomal RNA, 490 nt
Filed under: uncultured bacterium
Lineage: Bacteria
Description: partial 16S ribosomal RNA
Rfam family: Bacterial small subunit ribosomal RNA
Source: RNAcentral